GCAAGUCGAACGGUAACAUUUCUAGUUUGCUAGAAGAUGACGAGCGGCGGACGGGUGAGUAACGCGUAGGAAUCUGCCUAGUAGUGGGGGACAACAUGUGGAAACGCAUGCUAAUACCGCAUACGCCCUACGGGGGAAAGGAGGGGAUCUUCGGACCUUUCGCUAAUAGAUGAGCCUGCGUGAGAUUAGCUAGUUGGUGGGGUAAAGGCCUACCAAGGCGACGAUCUCUAGCUGGUCUGAGAGGAUGAUCAGCCACACUGGGACUGAGACACGGCCCAGACUCCUACGGGAGGCAGCAGUGGGGAAUAUUGGACAAUGGGCGCAAGCCUGAUGCAGCCAUGCCGCGUGUGUGAAGAAGGCCCUAGGGUUGUGAAGCACUUUCAGCAGUGAGGAAAGGUUAGUAGUUAAUACCUGCUAGCUGUGACGUUAACUGCAGAAGAAGCACCGGCUAACUCCGUGCCAGCAGCCGCGGUAAUACGGAGGGUGCGAGCGUUAAUCGGAAUUACUGGGCGUAAAGCGCGCGUAGGUGGAUUGGUCAGUCAGAUGUGAAAGCCCAGGGCUCAACCUUGGAACUGCACCUGAUACUG
RNAcentral lists this ribosomal RNA (587 nucleotides) under uncultured bacterium. RNAcentral's name for it is "bacterial SSU rRNA". It matches the Rfam family "Bacterial small subunit ribosomal RNA", at positions 57 to 635 of the family's 1533-position model. The record is from RNAcentral.